This 1947-nucleotide long non-coding RNA is filed under the name Homo sapiens (human). Its description in RNAcentral is "HSALNT0388428". The record is from RNAcentral. Lineage: Eukaryota; Metazoa; Chordata; Mammalia; Primates; Hominidae.
CAGGAAGCAAGCCAUGUGCAUCAAUUAUCAGGAACGCUUUAAUCCAACUGGGACCCCAAACAAACACCCCGUUUUAAUCCCGGGUGAAGUGAUACAAACAAUUUACAAAGCCUCACGACCCGGCAGCAACCCGAGUAAGUAGACCGUGAUCUUGCAGACAAUAAAAUGCAAGCCCGUGCUCAUACAUUGUAGGGGAUUGAAUGCGCCUUAAACAAAAGGAUGCUAUCUCCAAAAUAGCACGCUCACUGCCUUUGCUGGGCACUCAGCACGGUACCUGGCCUGUAGGUUGUCAGAUUCCACUGGGCUUAGAAUAAAAUCCAAACUCUUUACCGUUGCCUCCUAGGUCUUACGUGAUCUGGCGAAACUCAUCUGCCUCCUAAGCUCCAACGCCACUGCUUUUCUUUCCCUGUCUCCAGCACUCAGCUCCUUCGGGUCUAUGGCAAUUGUACUUGCUGUUCCUCCUGCCUGGAUUAGUCCUACAGCUUGCCCUGACUGCAUCCUUCUCAUCAUUCAGAUCUCAACGCAAGCAUCACCUCCUUCCUCUGAGGCCUUGGCCUUCAACAUCCCAUUCCCUACCCCACAUCAUUCCAGACUGGAAGCUCUAGAGCUGGCAUUAGAACACUGUCUGGCCCACAAGCCUUCAAUACUUCAACAAAUGCUUGUUGAAUCCAAAAACGCUGAUUACCCUUCAAUCUGCCAGCUCACCCCACUCCCUCUCAAAAUACCUAGGAGAAUUAAUUUACAAAGAAAACAUAAGCAAGCGACAGCGUAACACAUCGACUCAAAACAAAGCCGGUAAUCCGGGGCUGAACUGGUCAACGGCAUUUAAAGAAGGCCCCAAGAAAACCCUUUCCUGAUCGUGCACACACUUUUCAAGAGGCGAAACCAGGGGGACAGGGCGGUCGGCGGCGCAGCGCUGCCUACCUUGAACUCCGCGGAAAGUUGGGGCGUGUAUUCGCGAGUCCAGAGCGCGCGCACCAGCGCCGCCAGCUGCUCGGUGACCUCGGCGCGGCCCGGAGCCGCCCGGUAGCGCCCCAGCGCCAGGAACUCGGCCAGCAGGUCGGUGUUGCUGAGACACUGCACCACCGCGUUCAUGAAACAGGUGUUGCCGUGGUUCUUCAAGCCCUGAGCGCCCGGCGGCCGCGCCCCAUCGCCGGCGGGGAGCUGGAGCUGGGGCUGGGGUCCGGGCGGGCGUUCCUCCCCGGGGCUCCCGGGGGCCGCUGGAACUGGGCCCGGGGCGCAGGCGAAGCCCCCCUCACCGUCGCCAUCACAGUGUCCCGGCUGGGGCCGGGGCGGUGAGUCCCCGGGGCGUGAGCGGCUGCCCAGCGCCAGCAGGAAGCGGCUGAACAGGCGGCGCAGGGAGCGGCGGCGGCGGGGCCGGGGCGCGAGCGGUCCCCCUCCUGCCGCGUCCCCGGGGCCCAGGUCCAUGGCUGCCGCCGGCGCAGCUCCAGGCGCGGAGCCCCCGGGCGCGAGGCGGACGAGCGGCCAGCAGGCCCUACAGCUUCUCUAAGGCUCCUGGUGCCGGCUACCUGCGGGCCAGGUGUGCGGGGACGGGGCGGAGGCGGAGCCAAGGGCGGGGCAGCCCCGCCCCGCGCGGGAAUCCGGCGGCACGACCAGCCCCCUCCAGGGCAGCGCCGGGCCACCCCUACCCCUGCCUGGUGCCGCCCCCGCUGCGCUGACUGGGAGUCUUCGUGGUCGGAUUCCCCACCCUUCCUUACCUCGUAAACCGACAGACCUGGGUUUCGCCGCUGCUCCUGUUCCUCGAGCAGCCUUCAAGCAGUGGAAAUUACGGAGAAAUGAACAUUCUGAAAGCGCCUAGUAAAUGGUGGGGAAGUGAAGACACUGGAAGGUGAUAUGGCCUUUCCAAAGUGGCAUGGCUGAUUGAUGACAGACCACCAUUGGAAACAAGGUGGUUUGACUCCAGAGCCCGCACCCUCCACCACAACG